This is an RNA transcript of Balaenoptera ricei (Rice's whale), 1960 nucleotides long. It is a transcript of the gene named zinc finger protein 277, with no coding region annotated. The record is from RefSeq and is a predicted model, not a curated record. NCBI's taxonomy places the organism in Eukaryota, Metazoa, Chordata, Mammalia, Artiodactyla, Balaenopteridae. The transcript is spliced from 15 exons.
CUCCCUUUUUUUUCUCAGCCGUGUAAUGGCUGCUCCCAAGACACAGGGGGCUGCUACCCAAGGAGAGGAGGACGGUGAUGGCAACCGUGGCGGAACUGGGGGUGUCAGUUAUGAGAACAGUAAGGAUUGUAUCCUGGAGCCGCUUUCCCUGCCAGAAAGUCCAGGUGGCACCACCAGUUUAGAAGGUUCUCCAUCUGUGCCUUGUAUUUUCUGUGAAGAACAUUUUCUUAUAGAUGAACAAGACAAACUUCUGAAGCACAUGAUCAUUGAACAUAAGACUGUCAUAGCUGAUGUUAAGUUGGUUGCUGAUUUCCAAAGGUACAUUUCAUAUUGGAGGAAAAGGUUCACUGAACAGCCCAUUACAGAUUUUUGUAGUGUGAUAAGAAUCAAUUCCACAGCUCCAUUUGAAGAACAAGACAAUUAUUUUUUACUGUGUGAUGUUUUACCAGAAGAUAGAAUACUUAGAGAAGAACUUCAGAAGCAGAGACUGAAAGAAAUUCUGGAACAACAGCACCAAGAACGAAAUGAUAACAAUUUUCAAGGCAGUUGUAUGUUUUGCAAUGAGGAAUUCCUCGGAAACAGAUCUGUUCUUUUGAACCACAUGGCCAGAGAACACACUUUCAACAUUGGGUUGCCAGACAACAUUGUAAACUGCAAUGAAUUUCUGUGUACAUUACAGAAAAAGCUUGACAACUUGCAGUGCUUGUACUGUGAGAAGACCUUCAGGGACAAAAAUACACUUAAAGAUCACAUGAGGAAAAAACAGCAUCGUAGGAUCAAUCCUAAGAACAGAGAAUAUGACCGAUUUUAUGUCAUCAAUUAUUUGGAACUUGGAAAAUCCUGGGAAGAAGUUCAACUAGAAGAUGAUCGGGAGUUGCUAGAUCAUCAGGAAGAUGACUGGUCUGAUUGGGAAGGACACCCUCUCUCUGCUGUCUGCCUGUUUUGUGAAAAGCAAGCAGAAACAAUUGAGAAAUUAUGUGUCCACAUGGAGGAUGCACAUGAAUUUGAUCUCCUCAAAAUAAAGUCAGAACUUGGACUGAAUUUCUAUCAGCAAGUGAAACUAGUCAAUUUCAUUCGGAGGCAGAUUCACCAAUGUAGAUGUUAUGGCUGCCAUGAGAAGUUCAAGUCCAAAGCAGACUUAAGGACUCACAUGGAAGAAGCUAAACAUACUUCACUGCUUCCUGAAAGACAGACAUGGGAUCAACCACAGUAUUAUUUUCCAACCUAUGAAAAUGACACUCUACUGUGUACCCUGUCUGACAGUGAAAGUGACCUGACAGCUCAGGAACAAAAUGGAAAUAUCGCCAUCAUUAGUGAAGAUACAUCUAAACUGCAUGCUUUGAAACAAAGCAGUAUUUUGAACCAGUUGCGACUACAUGAGUCCUUGAAAAACUAGAAGAAACUGCCACAGAAGCAAUGUUUCAUGUUUUCUCCUGUGAGACAGACGCAAAAUACUUUAAAUUUGAACAUCAGCAAAGGAUUAGUCUUUGAAACUGCCACGGCUACCCCAGCCUUCAGCAGCCAACCCUGACCAGGCAGCACCAUCAACAUCAAGGCAAGACCCUCCACCAGCAGAAAGAUUACGGUUCACUGAAGGCUCAGAUGAUGGUUAGCAUUUUUUAGCAAUAAAGUGUUUUUUAAUUAAGGGAACACAUCCUGUUCUGCUCCUACUUUCUGCAAACUUCAGAGUGGCAGGCUCUGCCGGCGCAGUUGGAGGCCUUCAGUUGUCCAACACUCGCUACGACUGUGUGGGAACUGGGCCAUGAUGAAAAUCAGAAUGACGCUGGUGCGCCCCCCUCACCACCCGCCAAGGAGUCAUGGGAUGAUAAGCAUUUAGGUAAAUAAAUAGGUACCAGCUGCUGGUGUGCACAACUCUGGACUUCAGUGGACAUGAGUUCUGGAUGUCUUACAGAACCUGACACAUCAGGGGCUGGGUCUGUGCUACAGUCUCAACAGGAGG